Molecule: ribosomal RNA, 253 nt
Filed under: uncultured bacterium
Lineage: Bacteria
Description: partial 16S ribosomal RNA
Rfam family: Bacterial small subunit ribosomal RNA
Source: RNAcentral
UACGUAGGUGGCAAGCGUUGUCCGGAUUUAUUGGGCGUAAAGGGCGCGCAGGCGGUUCGUUAAGUUCGAGGUGAAAUCUCCCGGCUCAACUGGGAGGGGUCUUCGGAUACUGGCGGACUUGAGGAGAGCAGAGGUGAGUGGAAUGCUGGGUGUAGUGGUGAAAUGCGUAGAUAUCCAGCGGAACACCAGUGGCGAAGGCGGCUCACUGGGCUCCACCUGACGCUGAGGCGCGAAAGCGUGGGGAGCGAACCGG